Molecule: ribosomal RNA, 292 nt
Filed under: uncultured bacterium
Lineage: Bacteria
Description: partial 16S ribosomal RNA
Rfam family: Bacterial small subunit ribosomal RNA
Source: RNAcentral
GUGCCAGCAGCCGCGGUAAUACGAAGGGGGCGAGCGUUGUUCGGAAUUACUGGGCGUAAAGGGCGCGUAGGCGGUUUGUUAAGUUAGGCGUGAAAGGCCCGGGCUCAACCUGGGGAGUGCGCUUAAGACUGGCAGGCUGGGAUGCGAGAGAGGAUGGCGGAAUUCCCAGUGUAGAGGUGAAAUUCGUAGAUAUUGGGAAGAACACCGGUGGCGUAGGCGGCCAUCUGGCUCGUGAUUGACGCUGAGGCGCGAAAGCGUGGGGAGCAAACAGGAUUAGAUACCCCCGUAGUCC